CCUACGGGCGGCUGCAGUGAGGAAUAUUGGUCAAUGGACGGAAGUCUGAACCAGCCAUGCCGCGUGCAGGAAGACGGCUCUAUGAGUUGUAAACUGCUUUUGUACAAGGGUAAACCUGAAUACGUGUAUUCAGCUGAAAGUAUUGUACGAAUAAGGAUCGGCUAACUCCGUGCCAGCAGCCGCGGUAAUACGGAGGAUCCAAGCGUUAUCCGGAUUUAUUGGGUUUAAAGGGUGCGUAGGCGGAUUGAUAAGUUAGAGGUGAAAUGUCCGAGCUCAACUCGGGAACUGCCUCUAAUACUGUUGAUCUAGAGAGUAGAUGCGGUAGGCGGAAUGUAUGGUGUAGCGGUGAAAUGCUUAGAGAUCAUACAGAACACCGAUUGCGAAGGCAGCUUACCAAUCUAUAUCUGACGUUGAGGCACGAAAGCGUGGGGAGCAAACAGGAUUAGAUACCCGAGUAGUC
RNAcentral lists this ribosomal RNA (460 nucleotides) under uncultured Alistipes sp. Its description in RNAcentral is "bacterial SSU rRNA". It matches the Rfam family "Bacterial small subunit ribosomal RNA", at positions 338 to 795 of the family's 1533-position model. The record is from RNAcentral. Lineage: Bacteria; Pseudomonadati; Bacteroidota; Bacteroidia; Bacteroidales; Rikenellaceae.